This 1208-nucleotide ribosomal RNA is filed under the name Reisingeria hexaoculata. RNAcentral's name for it is "eukaryotic LSU rRNA". It matches the Rfam family "Eukaryotic large subunit ribosomal RNA", at positions 398 to 1440 of the family's 3401-position model. Lineage: Eukaryota; Metazoa; Platyhelminthes; Prolecithophora; Pseudostomidae. The record is from RNAcentral.
CGUGAAAUCAUCCAAAAGUAAGCAAGUAAAGCCGAAAGAGACAUUGGAAAUUCAGUAUGGUUGUUAACGGAGCUGUUAUUGUCGUUUUUGAUAUUCUUUAAACGUAGUGAUGGCUUACGCUUUUCUGCUGUAUGCACUUUUCUGGUGUCUUCACUACCAAACGGUAGCAAGCGAGUUUGAUGUCUUAAGGAAGGUAGUGUGCGUUUUCGGACGUACAUGUUAUAGCCUGAGACUUAUUUUCGUCUGUUAUCGGCUGAUAGUGCCUAUGGCUGAUGAUGUACAUUGUUUUGAUUGUGGUAUAGACUUCUUUAGUCUUUUCGUGAUUAAGAUUGUGUUAUUAUUAGACAGAAGCGCUAAAGGUAAGUGGUGUUUAAGUAGGUACUUUACUUGACCCGUCUUGAAACACGGACCAAGAAGUGUAGCAUAUGGGCAAGUCAAAGGGUCUUACGAAACCCCACGGCGAAAUGAAAGUAAUUUCAGUUGAUGAGAUCCUGGAGACUUCGGUCAAAAGGCGCACCAUCGCCCCGCAAGUUGGAGUUAUAUGCUCAUUGCGGAGGUAGAGCCCAUAUGCUGCGACCCGAAAGAUGAUGACCUAUGCUUGUGCAGGUUGAAGCCAGAGGAAACUCUGGUGGAAGACCGCAGCGGUUCUGACGUGCAAAUCGAUCGUCAGACAUGUGUAUAGGGGCGAAAGACUAAUCGAAUCAUCUAGUAGCUGGUUCCUCUUGAAGUUUCCCUCAGGAUAGCUGGUGCUGACCCUUUAGUCGUAUCCGGUAAAGCCAAUGAUUGGAGGUCCUGGGAGCUAAUAGCUCUCAACCUACUUUUAAACUUUUAAUGGGUACGACGUGCUUCAUAACGUUGUUAUGAUGUACUCAUACUGGGAUAUCAGUACCUAGUGGGCCAUUUUUGGUAAGCAGAACUGGCGCUGUGGAGUAAACCAAACGUUCGGUUAAAGGGCCAAAUUAACGCUCAUGAGACAUCUUAAAAGGUGUUGGUUGAUAUUGACAGCAGGACGGUGGCCAUGGAAGUUGGAAUCCGCUAAGGAGUGUGUAACAACUCACCUGCCGAAUUAACCAGCCCUGAAAAUGGAUGGCGCUUUAGCGUUGACCUUAAACCGAACCAGUAUCGCUAUAGCAGUACGCGAUACUGAGUAAAGAGGUUGCCGUGGUAGUGCUGAAGCUUACGACGUGGGUCGGGGUGGAGCUGCCACG